CCUACGGGAGGCAGCAGUGGGGAAUAUUGCACAAUGGGCGAAAGCCUGAAGCAGCAACGCCGCGUGAGGGAUGAAGGCCUUAGGGUUGUAAAGCCCUGUUCUCAAGGAAGAAAAUGACGGUACUUGAGGAGCAAGCCCCGGCUAACUACGUGCCAGCAGCCGCGGUAAUACGGGGGGGGCAAGCGUUAUCCGGAAUUACUGGGCGUAAAGGGGGCGUAGGUGGGUUCUUAAGUCAGAGGUAAAAUGCUGCGGCUAAACCGUAGUAAGCCUUUGAAACUGGGAAGCUUGAGUGCAGGAGAGGCAGGUGGAAUUCCUGGUGUAGCGGUGAAAUGCGUAGAUAUUAGGAGGAACACCAGUUGCGAAGGCGGCUCUCUGGACUGUAACUGACGCUGAGGCACGAAAGCGUGGGGAGCAAACAGGAUUAGAUACCCGGGUAGUC
RNAcentral lists this ribosomal RNA (439 nucleotides) under uncultured bacterium. RNAcentral's name for it is "partial 16S ribosomal RNA". It matches the Rfam family "Bacterial small subunit ribosomal RNA", at positions 338 to 795 of the family's 1533-position model. The record is from RNAcentral.